AGAGUUUGAUCCUGGCUCAGGAUGAACGCUAGCGGCAGGCCUAACACAUGCAAGUCGAGGGGUAGAGGAAGCUUGCUUCCUUGAGACCGGCGCACGGGUGCGUAACGCGUAUGCAAUCUACCUUGUACAGAGGGAUAGCCCAGAGAAAUUUGGAUUAAUACCUCAUAGUAUAAUUGAAUGGCAUCAUUUAAUUAUUAAAGUUCCAACGGUACAAGAUGAGCAUGCGUCCCAUUAGUUAGUUGGUAAGGUAACGGCUUACCAAGACAAUGAUGGGUAGGGGUCCUGAGAGGGAGAUCCCCCACACUGGUACUGAGACACGGACCAGACUCCUACGGGAGGCAGCAGUGAGGAAUAUUGGUCAAUGGGCGCAAGCCUGAACCAGCCAUGCCGCGUGCAGGAUGACGGUCCUAUGGAUUGUAAACUGCUUUUAUACACGAAGAAACACUCCCUCGUGAGGGAGCUUGACGGUACUGUAGGAAUAAGAUCGGCUUACUCCGUGCCAGCAGCCGCGGUAUACGAGAUCCAGCGUUAUUCCGAAUCAUUGGGUUUAAAGGUCCGUAGCGGUUUAUAAAUCAGUGGUGAAAGACCCAUCCGCCUUUAUCGAUGGACGCCAUUGAUACUGUUUAGACUUGAUUAUUUGUGAAGUACUAGAUAUGUAAUGUAGCCGCUGAAUGCCUUAGAUAUUAACAUGGAUUACCACUUGCCGAGCAGCGUACUAUUCCAUAUAUUUGAUCGCCGCAUGACGAAAACCGUGCGGACGCGAACGAUUAGAUCCCCCUGGUACUCCCGCGCAGUAAGCGAAGGGUAUACUAGGUGUGUGCGGGACCAUUCUGAUGUGUCUAAGGAAAAAGUGAUAAGUUCCCCCCCCUGGGGAGUCCUUUCCCCAAGAAUAAAACCUCAAAGGAAUUGGGCGGGGGCCCCCCCACAACGGGGAGGGACCAUGUGGUUUUAAUUUCGAUUAAUCCCGGGGGGAACCCUUCCCCGGGGUUUAAAAGGGGGAGGCGCCCAGUUUGGGAAACCCGAAUUUUUUUUGGGGACUUUUUUCCAAAGGGGCGCCAUGUUUUUUGUUCAGCUCGUCCCUGGGGGGUGCCAGGGUUAAGCCUUAAAACAGGCCGCAACCCCUUAUUGUUUAUUGCCCCGCCGGUCCAGCCCGGGAACUCUAACCAAGGACUGCCCGGUGCAACCCGUGAAGGAAGGUGGGGGAUGACGUCAAAUUCAUCACGGCCCUUUACGUCCUGGGCUACACACGUGCUACAAUGGACGGUACAGAGAGCAGCCACCACGCAAGUGGGCGCGAAUCUUCAAAACCGUUCUCAGUUCGGAUCGGAGUCUGCAACUCGACUCCGUGAAGCUGGAUUCGCUAGUAAUCGCAUAUCAGCCAUGAUGCGGUGAAUACGUUCCCGGGCCUUGUACACACCGCCCGUCAAGCCAUGGAAGCUGGGGGUACCUGAAGUCGGUGACCGCAAGGAGCUGCCUAGGGUAAAACUAGUAACUGGGGCUAAGUCGUAACAAGGUAACC
This 1519-nucleotide ribosomal RNA is filed under the name uncultured bacterium. RNAcentral describes it as "partial 16S ribosomal RNA". It matches the Rfam family "Bacterial small subunit ribosomal RNA". The record is from RNAcentral.